Long non-coding RNA from Mobula hypostoma (lesser devil ray), 150 nucleotides. RefSeq lists it as uncharacterized. The transcript has 3 exons. The record is from RefSeq and is a predicted model, not a curated record. Lineage: Eukaryota; Metazoa; Chordata; Chondrichthyes; Myliobatiformes; Myliobatidae.
CGAGAACUGGUCGGGGAAGAACGCAGACAAGAGGGCCCGAGGGAACGCCUUGACGCUCUUCACCGUGUGUUUGGACGUGCGUGCGAGAAAUAAAGGACACAACACGCUGCCUCAGCUGAGGCUAGAACUAGCGACCUUCGGAUCACUAGA